AAGUUCCCUGGCUAUACCACUGAAUGGCGGGAGACAUAGCGAGUUUUGGAGUUCACAUCCCAUCCGAAUUUAUUCUUUAUUAGUAGCUGUAACAGUUGUAUAAAAAAGAGCAAAAUAUAUGACUACAGCAUAGAUACGACAAAGCAUACCAAAGACAGGCCUACAUUGUAACAUGAUUUUGAGACACAUUAGUCGCGCUUUUAAACAACACAGGUCCGUGCACAUUUGAGCGCGUUCCUCCAGCCCCUGCAGCCUACUUCAACACAAGCAUGGCCGCACGGCUCUAAGCAGCAGGUGGGCAAUUAAACAGCCGUUUCGUUUACACUCGCGUCCCUGUAGUUCGUUACAUUUGAAAAUUUCCAGCAAAUCGGGGAGCUGGCACACGCGCACAAAAUAAAACUAAUUACCCUUGAGAAGUUUCACAGAUUGCAUGGGUCGACAAACCUCGACGCGAAACAAAUGGACCGAUUACGUGGCAAGAGCGCUUCUACACGUAUUAUCAGCCAUCUGAUCCACGAGCUGCCCCGGCCAGAGGACCAGGUGGAUCGAAAAGACCCAGGGAAUUAUGCCAAAACUGGAGCCCAUAAAGUUGCCGAAUUAGGAAUGCCCCGCGGUGAUCUGACCCGUUCAGGAGCCGCGCUCCACCCCCGCGAGAACCCGCCGUCCGCCAUCGGCACGGAGACGGAGACGCAGGCUCGCCGCUGAACCUCGCGAUGUCAGGCCGCUCUUCCUCCUCAUCCUCCUCGAGUCCGGCUCGCACAGACCCGAGUGGGAGGAAGACUCCUCGUGCGUUGCUGACAACAAGCAGACCGUGAUCUCCCGAUUGACCCCUAGGGGUCGCUGGUGAGCGAUGGAACAAGGGCAUCCUGGUUGACUGAACCCCUAACUUCCCAGACAAAGGUACAGCAAAUUAAGAAAUACCAAACCCUGGGACUCAUCAACACACUGGAACAGAGCCUUAACAGAUACCAGACUGUGGGACCAAUCCACACACUGUGUAACAGAGAUGUGUGGUGUAUGUAGUCUGUGUAACAGCUGUGUGGUGUACCUAGUCUGUAAAAUAUGAAGUCUUUGUCCAGAGGACCCAGCAUGCAGUGCUCUGGUGCAGCUGAAAUAGAUGCUUGCUCAGUGACCCCUGGGAGCAGGUCUGGUAAAUUGGGUGGGGAAUUGGCGUACCCAAACGGCCCCCGCUCUCUCCCCUUCCUCUCCUCCGUGUUCCCCACCUCUCCUCGCGCGCGCGUUUGGGGAAAUUACCCCUCCGUUCUUCUCCCGGGAGUCUUCCCGCCGAGGUCCGCUCGGCCGCGUCCGCGCUUCUGCAAACGCGAACCGUUAUUGAAAUGCGUCGUGGAACUUUUUUUUUAUCCGUGGAUCGUUUUUUAAAUUAUUUUCGCCCGUGGAAAAUGGCAAAGUUCAGAGUUCUGGGAAGGAGACGUGAGUUGGAAGCUUGCCGUACGCUCCUGUCCCUGUGCGUCGUUAAAUAUUAAUUAAACUUAAAAAAAAAAAAUUUAAUUUAUAAAUAAAUCCAGCGUAAGUCUGCAAGCGUGUCUGGAGAACAGCGAAACUGUAUUUUUAUGAGAUGCGUGGAAUUUGCCGUGCCAGUGGAUAAGGGAGAUGAUGAGUCUUGUGCUCAGAAGGAAUUGGGUGGGACAUUUGAUCUGAUGUGUCUGUACGUGUGGGUAGCAGUUGCCCUUUGUCAGUACAUUUAUAUAUAGAUCAGUGGCAGACCUGAUUCAUCAUGUAAAUGUGUGCACUUCUUCCAAAAUGUAGAAAGAACAUUGGUAGAAACUUUUCGGUUAUAUUCUCAUUUGGUCAAAAUUUGGAGGUUUGACCGCCAGUCAUAAAUAGCACAACAGUAAUUUUGUUCAACCGUUGCUGGAAUGUUUGUUUUUGAAUGAAAAAUAACAUUUAUAGGAACAUCCAGGAAGCUGACUAUAUGGCUGUGCCAAGCUCUCUGUGUGUACACUUGGUAUUCUAAAGACCGGGCAUCUCAAUCUUCAAAUCCUGGAAGGGCCUCAGUGACAGAAAUGCGUGGAGCUACCCAUCUGGUUCGUCUAUAGAGUCUGUGUCCUACCAGACCGUCGCGUUCCUAUUGGCCAAUCCCGGAAUGGUCAGAAUCAAUCUCCUUUUAAAACAGCGAGGCAAACCGAAGAUCAUUGUUCUGGUGACCCUUCAGUGAAGUAUUGAUCUUUCUCUCAGCUGCCCUCGCUGCUCAGGCAGGCUGAUGUUUCCAAAGGUCGACGGUCUUUGUCUGUUCAGACCGUAAUGUAAUGAGAUUUACCAUCUUUAGCAUUUACACCGAAACGCAGGGGUUUUCCCCCCAGUACUGUAUAGUGGUGUUCGUUUCACUAUGCAUCAGAGAGUGUGACAGUUAUUUUAUUGGAAUUGAUGUUGAACGUUUAAUUGAAGUUUUCUAUUUUAGUCCCCAUGCCAAUUAAAAUAAUGUGAUGACGCUAAUGUACAAGCCAUCCUUUUCUACAUAAAUUGAUAAAUCAAUGAGGUGCAUUUGAGAAAUGUGCUUAAAAAUAGACUUAAUUCUGUCCUAAUUCCCCCUAGACACCCUACGUCUUAAAUAAAGUGCUUGCAUCAGUGUUCAGUGAAACCCAAAGUACAAAGUGGUAUUUGCAGUUCUCAACACUGAAGUUGGAACAGAACAAGCUGUCAUUUGCUGUCCAUUAUUCUCAAAGAAAUACGCUUUUUUAUUUAUUUAUUUUUUUGCUGUUUUGCUUCUGUUGAAAGCCUUGUGGUUCAGAUACAGGAAAUGUACAAAAAAAAAGAUCCGCUCUGUCUGUCAAUCUGUCAGUCAGCCGUUUUCAGAGUGAAGAGUAAAAUGAAUAAAAGCAAUGACACGUGAGAAAUAAAAACUAUGAUUAUGAUUGUGCCCCA
Anguilla rostrata (American eel) is the source of this 2883-nucleotide long non-coding RNA. RefSeq lists it as uncharacterized. The record is from RefSeq and is a predicted model, not a curated record. NCBI's taxonomy places the organism in Eukaryota, Metazoa, Chordata, Actinopteri, Anguilliformes, Anguillidae. The transcript has 3 exons.